Molecule: long non-coding RNA, 1068 nt
Organism: Hippopotamus amphibius kiboko
Lineage: Eukaryota; Metazoa; Chordata; Mammalia; Artiodactyla; Hippopotamidae
Exons: 4
Source: RefSeq, a predicted model, not a curated record
GGGAGGUAGGAGGUAGAAGAGUCAGAGGAGGCUCCCAGAGGCUGUGCCCUUUGCUCUCCUUUGGCACUUCUGAGAAUACCAAAAUUGACUCCUGAGCUUUCAGCACCUGUGGUCCUGCCAGAUUUCAGAGAGUAUGACUAGGAGAGAGACCGGCCUACCUGAAGUCAAGACUAGAAGAUGUCAGCUUUUUCCAAAAGAACCUUUAUAAACCCCCCAGAAGAGUCUCCAGGAAAGUUAAGCUGUGUAACAUUGCUCCUAGAGCGAAGGGGAGAAGACUUGAGGGGAGAGUGAUGAGGGAGAAGCAUCCAGUUUCCUCUGAAACCUCUGGGCUUUUGAAAACACUGUGCCUGGCUAUACAUGAUGCUGUCACGUGUGGAGUUUACAGUUCCAGUAUUAGCAGUGUUAAUGUAAUGAGACGGCCUUCAAAGGAGAACUUGAAGAAUGAAUGUUUUAAAAGGAAGUUCUGAAUGGAGUAACUGUGACAUCUUCAGUGUCCUGCAACUUAUCCACAGAAGCUACAGAAGAUGAACCAGCUCCAGUUUUACUCAAUCCAAGAUUAGAUAUCCCCACUUUCUGUACAUUUUGAGGAAGGUUUAUACUUCAGGAAGGUCACCUCCCAUUUCCUUCUCCCUAUCACCCCUUCUUGUCCUUCUGUUCUCAUGCUGUGUGGCAUCCACGGGACUCUGGUUAUUUGCAGGUAUGCACUGAACUGUGAGAAGGCUCAUUGAUCAGGUGGGCCUGAGUGGGAGCUAAUAGGCUUUGUGAAAACAGUUGGACAACACAUCAGUCUGUCUUCUUGCCUCUGACACCUCUGACACUUCACUGUCUGACCCUGGGCAAGCCCCUUCCCUGUCUGCUCUUCCAUUGGCUUAUCUGUGCACUGAGAUGUGUAACAUCUAGGAAGGUGGAUAACCAAUAAACCCAGCUUUUAUGUACUGUGCUCCUGAUUGCAGUUCCGAAUGGCUGUCACUCAAGUGAGUGCCUUAGACCCUCAGUAGGUAGGCACUUCCACAACCUGCUCCAAGGAAGAGGUCAGGCUUCAGCUAACUUCUUAUUCCUUUCUUCCAA